CCUACGGGAGGCAGCCGUGAGGAAUAUUGGUCAAUGGCCGGAAGGCUGAACCAGCCAUGCCGCGUGAAGGUCAGUGCCCUAUGGGCGUUAAACUUCUUUUGUGCGGGAGCAAUAAUGGUCACGUGUGGCCAGACGAGAGUACCGUACGAAUAAGCAUCGGCUAACUCCGUGCCAGCAGCCGCGGUAAUACGGGGGUUGCAAGCGUUAUCCGGAUUUAUUGGGUUUAAAGGGUGCGUAGGCUGUGCGGUAAGUCAGCGGGGAAAUGCCCCCGCUCAACGGGGUGAAGUGCCAUUGAUACUGCCUUGCUGGAAGGCGGAUGCCGUGGGAGGAAUGUGUGGUGUAGCGGUGAAAUGCAGAGAUAUCACACAGAACACCGAUUGAGAAGGCAUCUCACGAAUCCGCGAUUGACGCUGAUGCACGAAAGCGUGGGUAUCAAACAGGAUUAGAUACCCCAGUAGUC
This 460-nucleotide ribosomal RNA is filed under the name uncultured bacterium. Its description in RNAcentral is "partial 16S ribosomal RNA". It matches the Rfam family "Bacterial small subunit ribosomal RNA", at positions 338 to 795 of the family's 1533-position model. The record is from RNAcentral.